CGUUUGAUGGCCGAACUGGUGAAGGCAUCGCCGAUAACAGGUGAGGAUGCGGGUUCGAGUCCCGCUGGAACGG
This 73-nucleotide transfer RNA is filed under the name Operophtera brumata (winter moth). It matches the Rfam family "tRNA". Rfam says of the family: Transfer RNA (tRNA) molecules are approximately 80 nucleotides in length. Their secondary structure includes four short double-helical elements and three loops (D, anti-codon, and T loops). Further hydrogen bonds mediate the characteristic L-shaped molecular structure. tRNAs have two regions of fundamental functional importance: the anti-codon, which is responsible for specific mRNA codon recognition, and the 3' end, to which the tRNAs corresponding amino acid is attached (by aminoacyl-tRNA synthetases). tRNAs cope with the degeneracy of the genetic code in two manners: having more than one tRNA (with a specific anti-codon) for a particular amino acid; and 'wobble' base-pairing, i.e. permitting non-standard base-pairing at the 3rd anti-codon position. Lineage: Eukaryota; Metazoa; Arthropoda; Insecta; Lepidoptera; Geometridae. The record is from Rfam by way of RNAcentral.